This 251-nucleotide ribosomal RNA is filed under the name uncultured prokaryote. RNAcentral's name for it is "partial 16S rRNA". It matches the Rfam family "Bacterial small subunit ribosomal RNA", at positions 525 to 775 of the family's 1533-position model. The record is from RNAcentral.
ACGGAGGGUGCAAGCGUUGUUCGGAAUCACUGGGCGUAAAGGGCGCGCAGGCGGUUUGGUAAGUCAGAUGUGAAAGCCCACGGCUUAACCGUGGAAGUGCAUUUGAAACUACCAGACUUGAGUAUCAGAGGGGAAAGUGGAAUUCCCGGUGUAGAGGUGAAAUUCGUAAAUCUCGGGAGGAAUACCGGUGGCGAAGGCGACUUACUGGAUCAAUCCUGACGCUGAGGCGCGAAAGCCUGGGGAGCAAACAG